AGAAAUUUAAGUUAACAGACUAAAGGUCUC
Molecule: transfer RNA, 30 nt
Filed under: Plethodon cinereus (red-backed salamander)
Lineage: Eukaryota; Metazoa; Chordata; Amphibia; Caudata; Plethodontidae
Description: partial tRNA-Trp
Source: RNAcentral